Molecule: transfer RNA, 108 nt
Filed under: Bacteroidota bacterium
Lineage: Bacteria; Pseudomonadati; Bacteroidota
Description: tRNA-OTHER
Rfam family: tRNA
About the family: Transfer RNA (tRNA) molecules are approximately 80 nucleotides in length. Their secondary structure includes four short double-helical elements and three loops (D, anti-codon, and T loops).
Source: RNAcentral
GCCUGAUUAGCUCAUUGGAAGAGCGAUUGUAAAAGCAUCAAUUACUAUGUUAUAGACACUUACAGAUGUUUUUUCAAUAGGUCACCGGUUCGAUUCCGGUAUCAGGCA